This 471-nucleotide ribosomal RNA is filed under the name uncultured bacterium. RNAcentral describes it as "bacterial SSU rRNA". It matches the Rfam family "Bacterial small subunit ribosomal RNA", at positions 28 to 494 of the family's 1533-position model. The record is from RNAcentral.
GAUGAACGCUAGCGGCAGGCUUAACACAUGCAAGUCGAGGGGCAGCACGAGUAGCAAUACUUGGUGGCGACCGGCGCAAGGGUGCGUAACGCGUGAGCAACAUGCCCGUAUCAGGGGGAUAAUCCAGGGAAACUUGGUCUAAUACCCCAUAGUAAUCAUAUCAGGCAUCUGGUAUGAUUUAAAGCUUAGGUGGAUACGGAUUGGCUCGCGUGACAUUAGCUAGAUGGUAAGGUAACGGCUUACCAUGGCUAUGAUGUCUAGGGGUUCUGAGAGGAAGGUCCCCCACACUGGAACUGAGACACGGUCCAGACUCCUACGGGAGGCAGCAGUGAGGAAUAUUGGACAAUGGAUGGAAAUCUGAUCCAGCCAUGCCGCGUGAAGGACGACGGUCCUAUGGAUUGUAAACUUCUUUUGUAUGGGAGCAAUAAGGUCUACGUGUAGAUCGAUGAGAGUACCAUACGAAUAAGCAUC